Molecule: long non-coding RNA, 13500 nt
Organism: Acinonyx jubatus (cheetah)
Lineage: Eukaryota; Metazoa; Chordata; Mammalia; Carnivora; Felidae
Exons: 2
Source: RefSeq, a predicted model, not a curated record
AUACUUUCUGGGGAAAGGGUGCAUAGCUUUCAUCAGAUUCUCAAAGGGGCUUUUGUCCAAAAAAGAUUUGAAAACCACCGAUUCCCAAGCAUCUACCGAGACCCAGUGGCAUAAUUUAUACCUGGUCCCUGUCAUUUUUUUCUAAACCCUUGCCUAGAGAUCUAUUCUAGGGAGCCUUUCAUCGGUCCCGGGGUGGGGAGGAGGGGGGUGUAAAGCCCUCCUCAUAAAGCCUCCUUUGGGGCCGUUGUGGCUGAGUGACUCCCCGAAGUCCCCGGUGCUGCGCAGCGCGGGGCGCAGGGGUGGCCGCCCAGGGAAGGGUGGGAAGGGUCGCAUCGCCGCUUCCAGGGGGCGGGAGGGGGGAGGCUGCGGGAGCCGGAGCGGAUGUCACGGCUUACCUCAGAGCCCGAAUUAGAAGGCUGAAAAAAUCACAGCAGGAAAUAAUGUGGUGCCUAAAAUAGAAGCAUCAACUGGGAGAGAGGCCGGGGAGUAGGUGGCAUUUGAGGCUCCUGCCGAGUCCUCCCCAGCGGCUGCCUGACUAGUGCGUCGGAGGCGCGUGUGGAUGCAAUCAGGACAGAAAAGGCCAGAAUAGGCCAGAAAGGCCGAGGCUGCCUUUCUGCUGAGGAAGGGGGGCUGCUCAGUAAACAGACACUCAGAUGGGACGGCAGGGCCGCCCUUUCUGGCCCGCUUGCCUCCCUGCUGGUUCCUUCUCACCUCCUCCUCCUCCUUCCCUCCCCCCUCUCAAUAUCCCCUCCCCCACUUUGGUCUCCUGCCUUCCCCGCUGCCUCCAGCCUCCUCCUCCACCCACUGCCUUCCUCUUAACCCUCCCUUUUUCCCCCCUCCCCCUCUGUUUUUUCCCACACGAGCCCCUCCAUCUCUCCCCUUUUCCCCAAAGCCCUGCCUGCUUUCCUCCUGGUCUCUGGAUUGCCAGCAGCUUGACCUCCACACCGGAAGCUGCUGGGAGGCCCUUAGUGCCUUCCUAGGCAAUCCAAUCAGAGGUCGUUCUAGGAGCAACAACCCUCAAGGUCAGCCUCCCUGGGCCUGACUGCAAGACCCCUCCACCACCCCUGACCCAGUCACCACCCCCCAUCUCUGUGAGACUGUCAAAGCCUGGCGCCUGCAAAAAGGCCAGCAGGGUGGGUGUUCCUUCACCGGACCACUCUCUCCAGAGGGGUUGAGCUGAAGCAAAAACUCUGCCUGCAGAUGGGGGCUGGCCCUCCUUACGUGGACACCUCCACGGAUGAGGACCCUCACAGAGGUUCCCUGACUGGCCAUAGCGUUUGCCAGGCAGGGGGCUGGCUGCUGCAGUAGGGGCUGAGACACACAGCCACAUACAAAAAUAGUACCUGGCCAGCCUUUACAUAUUAACUCUCUUAAUCCUCACAACAACCCCCUACUAGAAAAGUAGGUACUUUUAUUAUUCCCAUUUUCCACGUGAGGAAACUGAGACACACAAAAAUAAAUUAAGUUGGCCAUGUUCACAGAGCUAGGCCAGUGGAAGGGCCAGGAUUUGGGCCCCCAGUGGUCUGACUGCAGGGUCCCUUCUGCUGAACUUCACCUGCUGUUAUUGCCUCUUAGCUUAGUGCCCUUCUACUCAGCUUUUCUUUCUAAAAAUGAUUUUUGUUUUGUUAUUUUUUUUUCCCUGAAAGUAAGCAUAAGAUAUUUGAGAUUCUAAGCGUUAUGGGUGCCUUGAGAUUUCAGUUCUUAAAAAAAUCAGAUACUCUUAAUUUUUACUUCUCUGGGUGUUUUUCCCCCCAGCUGUUGCUCUACUGAAAAUAAGUGCUCUCAUUUUUGCCAUUUGCAAAUGCUGUGCGUCCUUGUCACCAUCUGGAAUGGAAUGGGCAUUCAUUCGUGCUCAAGUGCGCUGCCCACACACGUACAUGCGCCUCUGGUUCCCUCCCUCAUUAUGCCUUUGCACUGCUCCUGGGUUAAUGGCUUAUGAUUUGCCAAACAGAAUUCUCAGGAAAGGUAUGUGGCUAAUGUGGCUUCAAAUGGGCUUUGUUCCCUGGGGCCUGGGAGCUAAGUGGGAAUAAGUGGUAAGAAGUGUGGCUAAGGUUGUGGGUUAGGGGACUAAAAGACAAGUCAGAAUAAAAUAAUAAUAUAUAGUUAACAUUUAUUAAUACUUACUAAAUGCAAGGCAUUGUGCUAAGCAGUCUUACAGGGAUGAUCUCAUUGAAGUGACACAAUAGCCUAUGUUAUUAGUAGUGUCACCCUGUGGCAUUCAUUAAUAGUAUCACCACCAUUUGACAGAAAAGUCAAGGUUGGGUAAGGCUUAGCAUGCAUUGAACUGGCACUCUGGUUCAGCAGAUUAAAAGGAGGUGCUAGUUUUUGCAAGCUUUUUUUCUCUCCGAAAUAUCCGGAAAGAUCUUUGUCAUCGUGCUGAUUAUACAAGUACUACGCUCCCUGUGAAGAAUUAAAGCAACAGAGAAGUGUGCAAAGUAAAAUAUAGAAGUCCUUCCCCACGGCGUGCCUCUGCAUAGACUCUGACACACUUGUACAUAUCACACUGUCAUGCUCUUCAGGGGACAUCUUUGUGUGUGUCCGUACACACUUGAUUGUCAUUUCCAAAAGUCAGCGGGGAGUUGGUGGGCCAGAAGCUUGGAACGCUUAUGUUUUGGUCAUUCGUUGAAAUGGACAAGUUAUGAUUUCACUUUAAGCCAUGAUGUGCAAUGAAAGGCAAGGAUGCAGUAUAAGUAGACCCUUGUGUUAAUGAGUGCGGUCUUAGAAAAAGCGAUUUGUUAUUAUGUCCUGGGAGACUUACCAAUGUUCAUGCUUUUUGCCUCAGAGCAAUUCCGCUUAUGGGAGUGUGUGUCUGACCCAAGCAAAUAAAUAAGUGAAAAAGUAAUAUUUAGCAUUAGGAGAGUGAAACUUUGGGCGUAACUUAAAUGCCUUUCAGUAAAGAAACGGUUAAGUAGUAAGUGGGAAAAAAUGACGACCAUCUUUUUUUUGAGGGAAUAUUAUAUGCUCACUAAAAAUGAUGGUUAUGAAGACUCUAGUAACAUGGUGAAAAUGCUUAGAAGGUAAAGUCUAAUGAAAAAAGUAGUUCGCACAGUUAUAUGCACGUAUGAUUACAUUUGUCUGAAAAGAAACUGUAAAGAAAUAGCAGCAAAAUGAUACCAAUGGUUAUAUUAUAGUGUUGGGAUUAAUGCGGUUUUCUUUGUCAUUCUUUCUGUAAUGUGGUUUAUUUUUGUAGCAAAAAUUAUGUUUGUUUAAAGACUGGAAAAUGGAUGGAAAUUGUCAAAGAACUCCGCUUCCUUUCUCCUCCCUGGAUUUGAGUUUCAAUUUCUGUAAAAGAAGUAGUUAGACUAGAAGGAGAGGACUUCUAACUCCUCCCAGUUCUGAUAUUGUAGAUUCUCUGAUAUAAGCAGGUGGCUCUUUCUGUUACAGACUCAAAGCCAAAAUUCAGUCUUCCCACUGAAAACGGACAGAUCAGACAAGAACCUGUUUUGUAGCAGUUAGCUUAGGCUAUGCUUGCGUGUGUAAAUGUCUCCAUGUUAACUGGGAGAAGAAGAAUGUUGUUUAAAUCUGUGUAGAUGCAUCCUUAGGCCGAUUGCUUUCAUUGGGAGAUAGAGGGCCCCAGACUUGGGAGUCCUGGGACUGGAUGGUGAGCAGUCAUUUCCUGGCCCAUCCCAACAUUGAGGGGCUGUGUCGGGGCCCAGGUCCCUCAUUCCCCCUCCUCUGCAGUGCAGGGCCUGAAUGGACACUGUUUUCCCUGCCUGGUAAAGAGGUCCUUUAAGACAAGAACUGGGUUUUUAUCCCUGGUAUCUGAACUAUGAAUGAAUGAAUGAAUGAAUGAAUGAACGAACGAAUGAACAAAUGGGAGAGAGAUAGAGUGAAGAAAGCCCAUUAUAUGGGAGACCCAGGAUUUCACUGCAUCUUUGAAAUAAGUGAGGCUAGCAGUCAGGGGAAGCAUGUUAUGAGUUCAUAUAUCUGGAGUAGUGUGUGUGUGUGUGUGUGUGUGUGUGUGUGUGUGUGUGUGUGUGUAGUGUUUGGAAAGGGGAAAGGCUAGAAGAAUACCUCUCUGCUGGCACAGCCUUCGUCAGAGCCCUGAAAAGGGCUGAGUGGGCUCUGACUCAGCUCUGUGACUCACUUUCUGCAUUGCUGUCUCCACACUCUGGGCACAUCCUCUGGACCAUUUCAGCUCAGCCUCGAGUGGAGGAGGGUGAGAUUUGGGCCGGUACAUUCGGAUGACUCAUCCUGCUAAGCUGGAAGGAAGGGGCCAAAGCCCCCCUAUCCUGCACUCCCAUCACCAACCCUGCAUCUCCAGGGGUUCCUCUGAAGCCCAGACCUCAUGCAUGGGUUAUGGCUAUUCCACCCAGACACUAUGCACCACCCACCCACACCUCCCUGCUUAGAUUGCCAUAAUUUCCUUGGUGCCUUCACUUGGUUGUCCCCUGUGCUUCUUGUGGGCGUCCGAAGUCAGCCUGCAAGGCUCUUCCACACCACCCAACUGCCAUUCUGUUCUUUACCUCUCACAAAACUUUCCAGCUCACAAGAUAGUUUUACAUCCCUCUUCUCACUUGAUUCUCUCCAGGACCCUACGAAGCCUGGAAGGGUGACGAGUAUCACCACUGUACAGGGAGAGACCUUGUAAAAGGAUGAGUGAGGGGCGUUGAGGGCUGGGGUGGACUGGGGCAUGCCGAGGGAGGGGUGGAGCUGGCAAGGGUACUGCCAGGCAUUUGGUUGGACAGUGAGCUGGGGAAGAGGGACGGUGCUGGCUGGUUUGUAGUACAACAAGAAAUACGUCUACAUGGGGGCAGAAGAUAGACAAGGUGUCUUGACUUUAUCUUGAGACCAAUGGGAAACCCUUGAGAGAUUUUAAGCAGGGGACCCUGGUUUUGGCGUGGCAGGGAAUUGGAGCAGGGCAGCUAGGAGGCUCUCUCUGCAGUUCAGUUGAGAGCGGAUGGUCCACCUGUGGACAGCAGCUCCUGGGGUGGCGUCACCUCUGAGUAAAUCGUUUAUGCUAAUUCUAUGGUAAAGGGGGCCAGAAGUCUUGACAGACAGUGACCGGAGCAGGGCAGUAGAUGAGUGGCUCAGGGAAGAGGGAGGCACACUGGGGCCCCCUACACUUAAGAGCUGAGCAAAGGCAGGUGCGGCCCCUGCGACAGUAGUCUCACAGGAGGAGGGCAUGGUGUAAUGUUAGGGCACCUGCCUGCCCGUGACAAGUUCCUGUGAAGGAGACACGUUACUUUUGUCUCACAGAAGUUCACAGGUAAAAGGACUUGAGGGGACCCUUGGGUCUUCCCUCUGUCGUGAUCCUUCUGCCACCCAAUGCUGGGCUGCACAGGUCGCCACUCAGGAAGUGAGGACACGGUCUUGGAAGACAGCCAGGAAGUGGCCUCUCAGUAGAGUUCCCAGAGCAGCCAGGGGGCUGUAGCUGCAGGCUCUGGGGAGGGACUGGACUCCCUGAGCCCUUUUAGCCCUGGGGAAUUCAGAGAGGGUAAUGUUUCCAGGUAAAAUAUGGGAUGCCCAGUUGAAUUUGAAAGUCAGAUAAAUAACAAAUAAUUUUUAGUAUAUCUCAAACAUUCCAUGGGACAUACUUACAUUUUAAAAGUAUGUGAUUCUUAUCUGAAAUUCAAGUCUAACUGGAUGUCUGCCCUAUAUUUUUAUUUGCUAAAUUUGGCAACCCUUGGGGUGUCCCACUGCUGCAGCCUACCAGGGCCUGGGGAUUUUCCUCUGUCUGAGACCAUGUUAAGAACAGUCUCUGCAUCCCUCACCCUGUCUUGGGACCUCACCUGGGGCUCAGGUCGCCUGGGGAGACAAGCUCUGUCCCUGAUUGCCCUCAGCUUCUGGCUCAGGCCAGCAGGCGUCUAACCCAAGAUAGUGUGGCCUUCCACAUGCUAGUGGCUCUCCACCUGGGUGGGGACAGGCUGCUGCUUCUGAUCGUGAGACCUAGCUAAUGAGGUACCAGGGCUGUCCUCUGGUCAGCAGUGUCUGCCAGGGUGUCACAUCCAGGCCCAGCAGGUAGCCCAAGGGGCCUGGGACUAGAGGACUGGAGGAAAAGGGAGAUGUCAGCUCUGCCCUGGGUCUAUGAAUUAAAGGUAGUUUUUUAAAAAUGGCAACACCGUGGGGCACCUGGGGGGCUCAGUCAGUUAAGCAUCCGGUAUCGGCUGGGGUCGUGAUCUUAGCGGUUUGUGAGUUCGAACCCUGCUGUGCUGACAGCUCAGAGCCUGGAGCCUGCUUCGGAUUCUGUGUGUCUCUCUCUCUUUCUCUGCCCCUCCCCUGCUCGUACUCUGUGUCUCUCUCUGUCUCUCUCUCUCUCUCUCAAAAAUAAGUAAACAUUAAAAAAAAUUUUUUUUAAACGGCAAUGCCAUACCUGGCCUGGGCUUUACAGAGUUCAAGAGGUUUUCACAUGUCUGACCUCAUUUGACUUUUACCAUGUCCUUGUCAAGUGAGCAAGGAGGGUAUUUGUAGCCACUUUCUCCUUUGUAGGUGAACAAACGGGCUGAGAGAUUAAAGUCUGCCCGGAAUGCUGAGGCUCCCUGCUAGCACAGAGCAAGGUGAUCAGCCAGGCUGCUGCUCUGAGAAGUAUGGGAGUUGGUGCUCUGGGUGAAGUUUCUCCAUUUCCACAGCAGGGGGCAGACCUGAGGCCAUGCUUUGAUGGAUGGAUGGUUGGGGCCAUGGCUCUGCUCCGGCCACAGGCAAAAGGGGCAGGCAGGCCGCUCUCACUGGAGGAGCUUGGAGAACUUCCUUAGGAUGCAUCUUUUCAGUACCCCUUCCCUGAGCACGGAGUGGACAGUGGAGAUGACCUCCCUGGGGCAGCAGAACCCCGGUGCUGAGUGCUGGGAGUGAGGGUGUGGGUCAGUCACAGCAGAGUCUCUGUGAAUGUUGAACGAGACUUUGAAGGAGGACGACACAGUGGUGGGUGUGGCUGAAAUUGUGCAUGUGAGGAGUUGAGUUGUAUGUGUUUAUUCCAGAAAUAUUUUCUGAGCAUCCACUACAUGCCAGACAGUAUUCUAGAUCUGGGGAUACUGCAGGAUAGAAUAGAUGUGAUGCCUAGAAUACACAGAUUGUCUUCUCUCGCUCGUGAGUUGGCUAUUUUGACCCUAGCAAAUGCAAUGCAAAAUUUAGCCCCUUUACCAGCUUCCAGAAAAAAAAAAUCCUUUGCUAGCAAAUGUAGAGUAAGGGGCUAAUUUUACUGAAGAUUUCCUGGGAUGGGGUGAGAAGCGAUGUGGCUCUUCUCGCAGCCUCUCAUUCUGUGAAUCCUUCUCCCACGUUUCCUUUUGACCCUGCAGUUGUCCUGGGGGCACAGGUCUCUCUCUCCACUCCCCAACCAAAGCUCCCCGUCUGGCCAGCCUUUCUCCCGCAGUUUUGCACAGGCUUGGGAGGGAAGGCUUUUUGUCUCAUUUCUGUCUCAUUGUUUGACCUUGAAGGACACAGCCUUGAUCUGCAGGGCUCCUGCUUUCUGACAUGGUGGUGUCGGCUCUAUCCCAUUUCCACUUCUCAGAAUUGUUCCAGGGUGAAGUGAGCUUGUAUCUGAAAGGACUUUUGCUCAGAUCUCUAGCACCAUGGGUCAUGUCAACCAGAGACACACUUGAUGGCGUCUUGCUUUCAGUGUUAGCUCAGGCAGGGGAAGACCAGGCCCUAGAAUUUUACAAACUUGGGAGAUGAUGUCCCUGUGGGAGUAAAGGUUCUUUUUAUUUUAUUUUAUUUUAUUUUAUUUUAUUUUAUUUUAUUUAUUUUAUUUUAUUUAUUUUAUUUUAUUUUAUUUAUUUUUAAAGUUUACUCAUUUUAAGAGAGAGAGAGUGUGCAAGCAGGAGAGGGGCAAAGAGACAGGCAGAGAGAGAAUCCCACCAGGCUCCACACUGUCAGCGCAGAGCCCAGUGCAGGGUUUGAACUCAGGGACUGUGAGAUCAUGACCUGAGCUGAAACCAGAAGUCCGACGCUUAAUUGACUGAGCCACCCAGGCGCCCCCCUUUUAUUUUAGAUUGGAUAUAGUUUAGCACUUUGUUCUCACUCUUGUUAAUAAAAUAAAACAAUAAACACUCGCUACCAUCAAAAGAACAUUGACAGCCUGUGUUUAUGUGUUUGUGUUGUGUCUGUCACUAAAGCUGUAACUGCAAUGUAGAUUUUUAACAAAAUGGUUUUCAUUCAGUGCUGGGGAGUAUGAUAAUUAAAAACAAAAAGGAGGGCAGAUUCUUCUACUGCAUCUUUUCAAUCCUGCUUUCGCUUCCUUUUCCUCUUUUUCAUUUCUCCCUUAAAACAGAGGAGUUGAUCCCUCUGUUAACAUUGACCUUGGCCAUCUCUGACAAGACCAAAGCAGAGAAGCUGGGUACUAAGAGUGCCUGUGCUCAUUCUGUGAAGAGUCCAAGUAGGAAGCCAGGCAAAUGCUCUCCUUCCUUCCACUGUUGCCUGUUGCCUGUUGCGGGUGGGUUUGUUUGCUGCUCUGCUCCGCCCGCUCCUCAGAAGUCUGCACUGUGAGCUGGACCGCUGAAUGUGGUGCCUCUGGUGAGCGAUGUGUGAAUGAGGAGAGCAAGGAAAGAGAAGAGGAAAGAAGAGAAAAGGCAAGGAGCAAAGAGAGACUUCUCAGUUGCCUUGUGAGCUCAGGGACAAAGAUGACAGACACAACAGUCAUGACACAUCUUAAUCAGGAGUUCAGUUUAUUGGCUGAAAGUAACAGGAACAAUUCUAAUUAGCUUGAGCCUCCAAGGGGAAAGUGUUGGUCUCAUAAGCUGACGGUGGAGACAGCAGAGAGGGAACAACUGGGUUCUGGGAGUGGCCACCCUGGGGACUCACCUUCCCCUCUUGGGUGUUAGUACAUCUGCAGCUCUCAGGGCUGUGCCAGAAAGAAGAGAGAUCUUCCCACCAGCUUCCGGUAGAAGGCUCUGACAAACAGCAACAUACCAUUUUUUAGUCGUCAGAUUUCAAAAAUGUUAGACUUCAUUAAUCUCAACUAUCGGCGAAGGGAUGGGAAAAUAGCGAUCUUAACGCUCUGAUACGCUGCUGGGGGGUGGGGUAAGUUGUCCCUUUGGAGGAAAAUGUGACACUUGUAUUAUGAUUUUAAGUGUGGGUACUAUUGAUCUGAUGGUGCCACUUCUUCUCAAAAUCCAGAUUAGUAAAUCUCACACAUGCGCAUACAGAAAUAUAGGCAAAGAUGUUAUUUGAAAUGUUCUUUGUAGAACAAAAUUGGGAAUCACUUAAAUGUUCAUCUUUAAACCACGAUAUGUAUAUUUUAUACUCUGAGUAUAUGGAAACUGUUAAAAAAAUGAAGUAUGUACUGACACAAACUCCUAACUUGUCUUGGUAAAUGAAAAAACUAAUGUGCAGAAUGAUGCGUACAAUAUUGCUAUUCACUUGAGCAUAAACAAAAACAGAAACAAAACCUUGAAAUAAUCGGUAUGUCUAUGUGUAUGUGUAUCACGUAUGUUUCAAAGUAUAUCCAAAUGCUUAGAAAAAAAUUUGAUGAGGGGGGCACCUGGGUGGCUCAGUCCGUUAAAUGUCUGACUUCAGCUCAGGUCACGAUCUCACCACUUGUGAGUUCGAGCCCCACCUCGGGCUCUGUGCUGACAGCUCAGAGCCUGGAGCCUGCUUCGGAUUCUGUGUCUCCCUCUCUCUCUGCCCCUCCCCUGCUCAUGCUCUGUCUCUCUCUGUCUUUCAAUAAUAGACAAACGUUAACAAAAAUUAAAAAAAGAAAUAAGUUUGAUGAGGAAUUAAGGAAUGGGAAUUGAAGGAGACUGUCAUGUUUGAAUUUUUUCGAUGAUAACAUAUCCGUGUAUGAUUUAUGUAUUUAGAUUUAAGAUUGAAGAGGAGAAAAUAAUGGGAGUAUUCUGAUUGCUUCAACUUGGGUCAUGUGACUAUUUCUUGGCCAUCAGUGACCAAGGGGCUCCCAGGGCUCUGACUGGCCGUGCCUGGGUUACACAUUCACCCCUAUGAACACUGGAACAAUACUCAUGAUCGGCAGUUCCUUCCAUAAUUACACGUUGUUGUGGGGAAGGAGCUGUUCCCUCAAAAAAGGGAGGUGCUGUUCUGGGCAGACAAAAUGAUACAUCUCUGUAGUGAAAAUAUUUGGGCCCGCAUCAUCUGUAUGGGUUUAUGUAUGUGUCGUCCAAGGCUGAAUGCUUUGUUCAAUAUGUUUUUAUUACAGUACAGGAUAAGGAUUUGUUUUGCUCACUGCUAUAUCCCCAGAACCCGUGAAGGUUCAGGGUAUAUAGUAGUUGCUUGGCUUAGCAGAUAUUGGUUGAAUGGAGACACCACUAUUUUCAUCUAUGGUUAUUUUAAUAGUAAUCUACAAAUGGGCCUGCUGACAGAGGCAACUCUUCCCAGAUGCUCUCAGUAGGGGCAGUACAGAGAAAGGAAGAGGAAGUCAAAUCACCAGCUCAGGACUCCUCCCAAGGCCGGGGAGUCACCAGGACCCACACCUGGGACAGUUUGACAAUGACUUGGCUGAGGCAUGGGGUUGGGCAGGGGGAGUAUCUGCAGCCCAGUCUCUCACACUCCUCAUGACUAAGUGAUUCUUCCUUUCUGGGCUACUCAUUUGCAAAUGCUCCCUUAGUCCGUGUUAUAGACUCACCAGCUGUGGAAGAUGGAGCCACAGAGGAAGAGAAGGUGGCAAAAUGGGCCAGGUCACCUAGGGUGGGUGACCCUUGGAACGCCAAAUCACAAGCACUCUUCCAGGUCAUAAAAAUCGUGUGAAGGCAUUUUAAUUAAGGCCAGGAGAGACCAGCAUGGAAAUCCGUGUAUGUUUGCUGGCAAAGGAGGAGGUGUGAGUGGAGAGAGAGACUCAAAGAUGGUACAGGGUGACGGAGGUCAGCCAGGAGCCCAAGUGGGGCCAGGGCCAGGAGUGGGGGGUGGCGCUGGGGCAGUUAGGGCUGGAGGUGUUCUGGGUGGGGAGGCAAACUGCCCCUUGCUUUCACUCUCACUCCUGUACUAGCUCCAGUGACCCCCAGAGACCAGGCAGUGAGUCCAUAUUCUUCAGGUUCAGUGGAUUUUCUGGUUGGAGAAAUGUGAGAAUUUAAAUUGUGGGGCACCUGGGUGGCUCAGUCGGUUAAGUGUCAUGACUUCAGCUCAGGUCAUGACUCACGGUUUGUGGGUUCGAGCCCCGCGUCGGGCUCUGUGCUGACAGCCCGGAGCCUGGAGCCCGCUUCAGAUUCUGUCUCCCUCUCUCUCUGCCCCUCUGCCACUCAUGCUGUCUUUCUCUCAAAAAUAAACAUUAAAAAAAUUUAAAAAGAAAAUUAAAUUGUUGCCACCAAACGAUCUAGUUGCUGAACCUUUGAACCUUGAGCUGAGUUUGGCCUGGCUGAGUCGUCCAUGAGAACCCAAGGGGAGCUAGAGGUGUGCGUGUCUGGUGGAGACUAGAAAUGCAAGCCGGACAGUUCAAAACCGGAAUAGAUUCCGGGACACAUUUCAGACAUCUUUCCUUCACCCCCAGGGCCCUGUCCCCUCAUCAGCCCCGUAACCAUUGGCCACCUUGACUCCCACCGGCAAAUGCCUCCACCCUUUCCUAUGGUCAUUACCUACCAUUUAUAUUUAUUGAGUACCUACUGUGUGCCAGAUACUACAAGACACUGAUGUUAUAAGAUAUAUCCUUGUCCUUAAGAGACUUCCGUGUAACCCGCAGCUUGCUCAGGGGGCCCCAGAGAUCCCCAAAACUUUUGUCUGUGUGAUAGACCUUUCUGUGAACUGAUGACGGCUUUGCACAGCUCCCCAGAAAAACACAACCUGCGUGGAAAUUUGCAUACAGUUGAAGGUGGCACCAAUUUCCUGGAAGCCCGUUUAUGACCUAAGUGUCUGUGUUCCCAAAGUCGCAAAUGUUUUAUCUAAUUUAACCCUCUCAUUCUGUAGAUCAGGAAACUCAGACCUGAGAGAGAGAAAUGACUUGUCCAGGGUCACACAGUGGGUUAGGGACUGAGUCAGACCUUGACACCAGGACUACUGGCUCCCCCAGGCACUGCUCCACCAGGCUUCCUCUGCUUUCCCUGUUGGCUUGGAGAACCUGGCUGAAGAGGGGUCCUGGGCCAGUUCCCUUUUCAGCUGUCAAGUCUGGGGCUGCCCAGCCUACAGGCCUCCUUCUCCACCACCCCACUGUCCCUUCAGGAAUGCAGGACCAGUGGUCAGGAGUUCCCUGAACAGUUGCUCUGGCCCUGGCCGCCCCACUGGUUCCCCCCAGACGUCAGGGGAAAUGUUCUGUAGAGAACAGGAUGUGUUUUCCUGCAAAAUCGUUUGUCUCACAAGAUGAUUUGCAUACUGGUAGGGACACAAAUGUCAUUCCCUGCCCAUUUCCUCCCUAGGGAGAAGUGUUCCCAUCACAGCUUUCCCCUCAAAGGACAGGCGGCUUUGUGGGCCCAGCCCCAGCCCCAAGGGACAACUUCCUGAUAGGAGGGAAUCAGAUAAUAGUGAGGACUCCCGGAAGUAAGGAGCCUCCUUUGUUGCCUUCUCACUUCCAGGGCUUGGCUAGAAGGGGGCUCCAGGCUCCAGCUCUGAUAAAUGGCCUGCUCCUGUGAUCCCCAGGGCUCUGGGCAUCUACCUUUAUAACACAUUCUUGGAGGUAAAUUACUGGAAAUUCAGCUGCUAGAAGGGAGGCUUGAGGUGCUGUUAGGUGAAAAAUAAUAACAAAUACGUAGUGCUUAUUACAUGCCAGCAUUGCUCUGAGCAACUUACUGUAAAUUCAUGUAAUUCUCACAACAUAGUGAGCUCGGUUCUAUAAUUUUUUUCCAUUGUCCAUGUGAGAGAUCAAGGUUCAGAGAGGUUAAGGGCACAAAGCUGGUAAGCAACACAACCAGAAUUUGAACACAGCCAAUCUGCCUCCUAAGUUGGGAUUUUAAGUACUAUAUUACAAGAGGGAGAAUUAGAAGAUUGGAGGUCUAGUCUAACCCUUGGAGGCUGUGCCGUAGUCCAGAAGCAUUGGCAUGGAAUUCAGGUUCCCUUAUGAUCUGGUCUCAGCCCUACUGCUAUCCCUCCUUGCCUCCUACCACCAUGAUCCACCGCCUCAACAGUCCAUGAACAUGCCCCAGCUGGUCUGCACGUAUCUUUCACUCUACCCAGACAGUACUUACCCAUUUCUGUCUGAAAUGUCUCUUUUUCUACCGAGAACCUCUGAAAAACCCUCCCUGUAGACUGGGGUUAGGCGGGCCUUUCUCUUUUUAAAAUUUUUAUUAUUAUUAUUACUUACAGUGGCUUUCGUCAGUUUGUCUUCUAAUUAUUGGCUAAUACGUCUCUUUUGCUUCUAGACUUCACUCCUAAGGACUGGAUAUCUGUCAUAUCCAUUUCAGAAUCCUCAGCACUCAAUCCAGUACCUUAUAUGUAGUAAAUACUCAGCAGAUGUCUGUUAUGUACAGUGAACAAAGGAUGUUACAAAAUAAUAUGUGCAGUGUGCUAAAUAUUGUAUUAUGUAUACUAUAACUAUAUCACCACCCAGAAUAUCCCAAAUGUUAACGAUUUUCACAGAAUUUGGGGGUUACAGGUGAUUUUUCUUUCUUUGCAUGUCUGCAUUUCCCAAAGUUUCCGUAAUGAUCAUGUGUUACUUUUGUAAUACAAAUGGAAAAAUAAAUUAUUAGAAAACUGGUU